RNAcentral lists this ribosomal RNA (2902 nucleotides) under Escherichia marmotae. Its description in RNAcentral is "Bacterial large subunit ribosomal RNA". It matches the Rfam family "Bacterial large subunit ribosomal RNA". The record is from RNAcentral. Lineage: Bacteria; Pseudomonadati; Pseudomonadota; Gammaproteobacteria; Enterobacterales; Enterobacteriaceae.
GUUAAGCGACUAAGCGUACACGGUGGAUGCCCUGGCAGUCAGAGGCGAUGAAGGACGUGCUAAUCUGCGAUAAGCGUCGGUAAGGUGAUAUGAACCGUUAUAACCGGCGAUUUCCGAAUGGGGAAACCCAGUGUGAUCCGUCACACUAUCAUUAACUGAAUCCAUAGGUUAAUGAGGCGAACCGGGGGAACUGAAACAUCUAAGUACCCCGAGGAAAAGAAAUCAACCGAGAUUCCCCCAGUAGCGGCGAGCGAACGGGGAGGAGCCCAGAGCCUGAAUCAGUAUGUGUGUUAGUGGAAGCGUCUGGAAAGGCGUGCGAUACAGGGUGACAGCCCCGUACACAAAAAUGCACAUGCUGUGAGCUCGAUGAGUAGGGCGGGACACGUGGUAUCCUGUCUGAAUAUGGGGGGACCAUCCUCCAAGGCUAAAUACUCCUGACUGACCGAUAGUGAACCAGUACCGUGAGGGAAAGGCGAAAAGAACCCCGGCGAGGGGAGUGAAAAAGAACCUGAAACCGUGUACGUACAAGCAGUGGGAGCCUCUUUAAUGGGGUGACUGCGUACCUUUUGUAUAAUGGGUCAGCGACUUAUAUUCUGUAGCAAGGUUAACCGAAUAGGGGAGCCGAAGGGAAACCGAGUCUUAACUGGGCGUUAAGUUGCAGGGUAUAGACCCGAAACCCGGUGAUCUAGCCAUGGGCAGGUUGAAGGUUGGGUAACACUAACUGGAGGACCGAACCGACUAAUGUUGAAAAAUUAGCGGAUGACUUGUGGCUGGGGGUGAAAGGCCAAUCAAACCGGGAGAUAGCUGGUUCUCCCCGAAAGCUAUUUAGGUAGCGCCUCGUGAAUUCAUCUCCGGGGGUAGAGCACUGUUUCGGCAAGGGGGUCAUCCCGACUUACCAACCCGAUGCAAACUGCGAAUACCGGAGAAUGUUAUCACGGGAGACACACGGCGGGUGCUAACGUCCGUCGUGAAGAGGGAAACAACCCAGACCGCCAGCUAAGGUCCCAAAGUCAUGGUUAAGUGGGAAACGAUGUGGGAAGGCCCAGACAGCCAGGAUGUUGGCUUAGAAGCAGCCAUCAUUUAAAGAAAGCGUAAUAGCUCACUGGUCGAGUCGGCCUGCGCGGAAGAUGUAACGGGGCUAAACCAUGCACCGAAGCUGCGGCAGCGACACUAUGUGUUGUUGGGUAGGGGAGCGUUCUGUAAGCCGUUGAAGGUGUGCUGUGAGGCAUGCUGGAGGUAUCAGAAGUGCGAAUGCUGACAUAAGUAACGAUAAAGCGGGUGAAAAGCCCGCUCGCCGGAAGACCAAGGGUUCCUGUCCAACGUUAAUCGGGGCAGGGUGAGUCGACCCCUAAGGCGAGGCCGAAAGGCGUAGUCGAUGGGAAACAGGUUAAUAUUCCUGUACUUGGUGUUACUGCGAAGGGGGGACGGAGAAGGCUAUGUUGGCCGGGCGACGGUUGUCCCGGUUUAAGCGUGUAGGCUGAUUUUCCAGGCAAAUCCGGAGAAUCAAGGCUGAGGCGUGAUGACGAGGCACUACGGUGCUGAAGCAACAAAUGCCCUGCUUCCAGGAAAAGCCUCUAAGCAUCAGGUAACAUCAAAUCGUACCCCAAACCGACACAGGUGGUCAGGUAGAGAAUACCAAGGCGCUUGAGAGAACUCGGGUGAAGGAACUAGGCAAAAUGGUGCCGUAACUUCGGGAGAAGGCACGCUGAUAUGUAGGUGAAGCGACUUGCUCGUGGAGCUGAAAUCAGUCGAAGAUACCAGCUGGCUGCAACUGUUUAUUAAAAACACAGCACUGUGCAAACACGAAAGUGGACGUAUACGGUGUGACGCCUGCCCGGUGCCGGAAGGUUAAUUGAUGGGGUCAGCCGCAAGGCGAAGCUCUUGAUCGAAGCCCCGGUAAACGGCGGCCGUAACUAUAACGGUCCUAAGGUAGCGAAAUUCCUUGUCGGGUAAGUUCCGACCUGCACGAAUGGCGUAAUGAUGGCCAGGCUGUCUCCACCCGAGACUCAGUGAAAUUGAACUCGCUGUGAAGAUGCAGUGUACCCGCGGCAAGACGGAAAGACCCCGUGAACCUUUACUAUAGCUUGACACUGAACAUUGAGCCUUGAUGUGUAGGAUAGGUGGGAGGCUUUGAAGUGUGGACGCCAGUCUGCAUGGAGCCGACCUUGAAAUACCACCCUUUAAUGUUUGAUGUUCUAACGUGGACCCGUGAUCCGGGUUGCGGACAGUGUCUGGUGGGUAGUUUGACUGGGGCGGUCUCCUCCUAAAGAGUAACGGAGGAGCACGAAGGUUGGCUAAUCCUGGUCGGACAUCAGGAGGUUAGUGCAAUGGCAUAAGCCAGCUUGACUGCGAGCGUGACGGCGCGAGCAGGUGCGAAAGCAGGUCAUAGUGAUCCGGUGGUUCUGAAUGGAAGGGCCAUCGCUCAACGGAUAAAAGGUACUCCGGGGAUAACAGGCUGAUACCGCCCAAGAGUUCAUAUCGACGGCGGUGUUUGGCACCUCGAUGUCGGCUCAUCACAUCCUGGGGCUGAAGUAGGUCCCAAGGGUAUGGCUGUUCGCCAUUUAAAGUGGUACGCGAGCUGGGUUUAGAACGUCGUGAGACAGUUCGGUCCCUAUCUGCCGUGGGCGCUGGAGAACUGAGGGGGGCUGCUCCUAGUACGAGAGGACCGGAGUGGACGCAUCACUGGUGUUCGGGUUGUCAUGCCAAUGGCACUGCCCGGUAGCUAAAUGCGGAAGAGAUAAGUGCUGAAAGCAUCUAAGCACGAAACUUGCCCCGAGAUGAGUUCUCCCUGAGACUUUAAGUCUCCUGAAGGAACGUUGAAGACGACGACGUUGAUAGGCCGGGUGUGUAAGCGCAGCGAUGCGUUGAGCUAACCGGUACUAAUGAACCGUGAGGCUUAACC